UAUAUUUUUAUAAUGGUUCAUGGUUUUUGAAUGUUUUAUUCAAAUAAUGUAAAAAAUAAAAUAGAUAUUGACAUGGAUUGAACAAAAGAUAUAUAUUAUUUUAUGUUGCAUAAACAAAUUGGCAAAAUAGAGAUGGAAGAUAAAAAUAUGGUCAAAGUAAUAAGAGUCUAUGGUGAAUGCCUAGGAGCUUUAAGGCGAAAAAGGUCGUGGUAAGCUGCGAAAAGCUUGGGGGAGAAGCAAACAUUUAUUGAUCCCAAGAUUACCGAAUGGAGUAAUCCAACUAGCAAGAUGCUAGUUAUCUAUUAUCUAAAUAAU
Molecule: unclassified non-coding RNA, 315 nt
Filed under: Borreliella valaisiana
Lineage: Bacteria; Pseudomonadati; Spirochaetota; Spirochaetia; Spirochaetales; Borreliaceae
Description: partial contains 5S-23S ribosomal RNA intergenic spacer and 23S ribosomal RNA
Rfam family: Bacterial large subunit ribosomal RNA (bases 150-315)
Source: RNAcentral